UCAAUUCAACCAAGUGCGUUGAUUCAAUUACAUACAUUAAUACCAUUACAUUCAUCGUCAAUUUUCCAAACACAAAUUCAUUCAAUUUCCAAAAAACCUUUACAACCAUUUCAUACAAAUUCAUUCAAUAUCACAAUACGUUUUACAUAACCAUGAAUGCCAUACAAAUUGCAACAUACAUUUUUACAUAAACCCUACAUUACAACCAAUUUACAACAUGAUUAAAACUCGUCCAUAUUCCAAGCAAAUCCCAAAUCCAUUCUUUCAUAGCUAAUCCAAUUCCAAGUGAAUCCAAAUCCCACAAGCAACCCAAGUCAGCUCCAUUUCACUGGCCCAUAUCUUCAAAAGCAUGAUUCUAAGCCAAAGACUUCAAAUCCAUUAAAGCAGCUCUACAUUACAUUUCAGCAGCCAAUGAGAAAAACUUCAAGCAUACCUGUAAAAAUGCUAGAAACUCAGCCUAACAGCAUAACCUUCAUUUUCACUUUUGACUGCAACUUCUAACCUCUAUAUUAACAAACUAACUCAUAAUUCACUAACCUUUCACUUCCAACUAACUCCCUGUAACUAACUUUCUAACCUUUAUAACUGACAUAACCAACUUGUAACAGAAUUUAAAAAAAGCUCUAACAGAAUUCACAAAAAACUAUAACAAAAUUUGAGAAGCAUAACAGAAUUUCAGGAACUAUAUAAACACUACAACUCACAUUUCAGAGGCUUCAACUCUCACUUUUUUAGAUUCUCACAAUUCAACACCUUCAAUCCUCAUUUCUUUCACAUUUUCGAUUUCCUCAAAUCACCCUCCACAAACCAAAUUUCAGAAACUCAUCAUCAAUCUUAAUUCAUCAUCAUCUUCUCCACUCAUUCAUCACCAAGCUUCCACAAACAAUCACUUCAAUCCUCAAAGAUCAACCACACUCAUUCAUCACCAAACUCUCACAACAAUUCUCGAUUCGCAAUUUGCAACGCACAGAAGAAGCAGAAUCACAUCACAGAGAAGAAGAAGAAGAAUAAGAGAAAGAGGAUAAGAAGAAAACUUCAAGUUGUAUUUGACGUCGGUGUGUGCUUCGGUGAGACUUCAAUCAUCUUCUUUCUUUUUGAAAUUUUGAGUUACCAUUGCGUAGUCCUUCACGAGGGGAAUCAAAUCCCCAAUGUGAGGUGGCUCGAUCCCCCUCUGAUGCUAUUUAAUUUCGAAUUUUCGCAUUAGGGUUCUUGAAGCUCUCUCUUCGAUUUGCAUAGUCCAUGAAAAAUCAAGGAAAUCCGUUGGUGGAUUCAGACUCAUUGUGUGAUUUCGGUUUGAAUUUUGGUGUUUGACUUGAUUUUGGAGAGCCUCUGCCACCGAGGACAGCCUCUGCCACCGAGGAAGAAACAGAACAGGACUGAGAUGAGAGAGGAUAAGAGAUACGCGUUAAUUCAUUUGUUCUGAGUUUUACUUAACUUUGUUUUACACGUGCAUUUUAUUCAUUUAAUGACUCAUUUUAUUUUAAUGCUUCAUUUACAUGCGCAUUCGUG
Molecule: long non-coding RNA, 1509 nt
Filed under: Lathyrus oleraceus (garden pea)
Lineage: Eukaryota; Viridiplantae; Streptophyta; Magnoliopsida; Fabales; Fabaceae
Description: Pisum sativum (pea) long non-coding RNA (PSAT_LNC029971)
Source: RNAcentral